AAGAGUUCUAAGGAGGAGGAAGGUCUAUCUUCUAUGGAGUUUUUGAAAAUCAACAAAGGUGGAGCUAUCAGGUCCAUCCUUUUAUUUUGGUGCUGAGGAGGAAGAUAUACCUCACAUGAUGGAGUAUGAAGAUCGCAACUUCAUCAAGACAUCUGGCAAGUGCACAUAUUCGCGAGAAACACUAUUACCUUGUACAAUAUUCUUAUGUGAUUCUCAUAAUUCAUUUUUUAUUAUGGGCAUGCACUCCAACAUGUGGGGUCAUUUUGUCAUCACAUUUUAACCCUUAGGAAAAUCGUCAUAUGUCAUUAUUAUUUUCAUAUGAUGAUGCUGGCUUAUGACAGGAAUAUGGCAGCACAGUAAUCGAUGGAUAAAUCAUUGAUUAUCAUCUUAAGUUUGUUUUAGUAUGCUACAACAUGUAGAUUUGUUUUGAUAUGCCAAAAUUUGUGGGUUUUGUUAUGAUUUAGAUGACCCUGUAAAUGCUGAGAAAAUGAUUUGAGUCUUUCAUAGAAUAUUAAGUAGCAUCAUUUUAUGUAAGAGGGAUAGCAUGCAAGACUGUUUCAGUAUGUUAAUAUUGGUGGGGCCUUAUCAUAUUUAAAUUAAACCAACUUAUGGUGAGGAAAUGAGCUAAAUCUCAGUGGGUUUAGGAUUUGAAUCUCUUCUAGGAAUAAACUGAAGUACUAGAUGGAAGUACAAACCUAAUGCUCUUUAGCAUUUGUCAUAAUUGGAGAUCAAUGUAGAUUUGUUUGGAUUAGCAGCUAAUCGUCUAUGUAAAUCAAUUUGAUUAUCUUAUUUUGAGUAUGUAUGUUUCGUCAUAUUAGUCCCUUUUGUGGCAUUUGGGAUCGUUAUGGUCAGGCUUGGAUUUGUUUAAAUCAAUGACUAUAUUGAUUUCCUGUUUGUUUUAUGUGUUUAAGAGUCAACUAAUUUCUCCCUUUCUUAUUGUUGGCAAGCUGCAGAUAUCCAUUUUUAUUGGGUAAUUAUUGGGACAAAUUUACACAGUAGUCCUGCAUUACCUAAGUAUGUUGCUGGUUAAAUAGACUGUGGGGAAGGAUAAGUCUGGCUGUGAUGUUUCUAUUUUUUCGCUAAGUAGUGUUGUAUUUGAUUAAUCUAAUGGUAAUAUUUCUUAUAAACUUGUAGCCAAUAUCUUUAAAUUUUAUGUAGGUCCUACUUGUCAGGAAACUUAUGUUUGAAACUUUUUUUUGUUAAAUUGGCCAUGUCACAUUAGCCACUGAUCAAGGAAUCUAUGGAGUACUAAGCAGUUUAAAGAAAUAGUAUGUACUUAAGUGGUCACGUAUCAUUUGCUGGUUGUCAGCCAUGGUUCUGGGACAUAUACUGUGGAAAGAGGAAAGGAGUGAGUGGAGAUUUUGGCCCCAUAUCUUGUCUUAUGAUCAUGUCACUGAAAGUUGUUCUUAGCUAAUAAAUGAAAAUAUUUGCAUCAAACACAUUGCUAGUCAUCCUUUUCGGUAGACUUAAUUUUCUGCUGCUAUUUCUUUUCAUCCCAAACAUGCCUUCGGUUGUCAUGAUCAUUGUUUGACUAGUUAAUAUCAUGAAUGAUGAAUCAGCUUCCUAAGGCUGGAUGCAGCAAUGUGUCAUGAUGCUCUCUCAUUCUUUUGUAGGUAGCUUUCUUGUUUUAUCACCUCGGUGGUUCCUACAAUCUGAGUAUGACUACACAAUGGACUUUGAUCUUGGUGUUCAGGUACGGCCUCGUUUUUUUUUUUAAAUAAUUUUCAUUCAUUACGUCAAACGAUAUACAAGACGGGCAUGUCGACUUGAACAUUAGACGUAUCGACUGUGCAACAGUAUACUAAGUUCCUAACCACUAGAUGUGUCAACAGAGAAAAGAGUUGUGCUCUAUGGUUGGUUAUAUUUAGUGUCGUGAAAAGGAAUUUGUGUGCUAUUGAUGGAUUCCUAUUGCAUGUUCUUGGGAGAAGGAUAAUGGUCUCAUGACAUAACAGGAAAAGCACCUCAUAUAUGCCUUCAUUGUAUCAGAUUGAAGCAAGCAUGCAGAAGGCUUGAAGCAAUUUAUAUAUGCCUGUCUGCUUAUAGUAAGCAUUGUACUACAUACUACAAACUACACAUUUGUGUGUGAAUCAUAUCACACUUUGUGAAGUCAUGUUUUUGAACUCCAUAUGAUUAGCUGAGCAGUUUGCCAUUUGAAAUUAUGUACUUUUGCAAACGAAAAUGGGUUCAUAUCAUAGCAUCAAGGGUUUAUGCAG
This 2213-nucleotide long non-coding RNA is filed under the name Musa acuminata (dwarf banana). RNAcentral describes it as "long non-coding RNA (MACU_LNC006686)". The record is from RNAcentral. Lineage: Eukaryota; Viridiplantae; Streptophyta; Magnoliopsida; Zingiberales; Musaceae.